Molecule: ribosomal RNA, 420 nt
Filed under: Triticum aestivum (bread wheat)
Lineage: Eukaryota; Viridiplantae; Streptophyta; Magnoliopsida; Poales; Poaceae
Description: partial small subunit ribosomal RNA
Source: RNAcentral
AUGAGGCGAUCAAACACAAGCAACCUUACCAAGAACAGAAGAAAACAGAUACGAACGCUGUCGGUGGAGGCACACCCACUACGCCCGACGCACCCCGGUGGCGCGGCGGUGCCCUCCAUCGGCCUGAAUCCUCCGCGCAGAGCGACGCGCGCGUCACACGGACAUCAUCCGAGGCCCUCGGCCUCAGGGCGGCUCCCACGGAGCAACCAACCACGACGCGGCCAUGCAGCCCUUCGGCGUGCGCGGACCAUGAGCGGCAGUGGAGGCAACGUCCUCCGGCACGGCGGGGAAACCGCCGGCCGGCAACGCCCUCCGGCGCGUGGCGUUGUACGAGCAAGCCCCCCCGGCUACGGCUGGCGACGCCAUGAACCGCAACAUCAGUGCCUCUCUGCAGAACUAAACAAAUCGAUGGAUUUGUGA